CACAUGUGAGACUGGGCAUGAUUCAGAAAAGUUGGAAGAUCUAGAGAGGGAUCUUGCAAUCUGAAGUUUCUUGUUUAGUCACUGGAGGUAAGCCCGAGAAUUUGCAUUUCUGACAAGAUCCCAGGAUCUGAACGUCUAUGACACUCUUUCGAGCUGACACAGUGAAGAACAUAGAAGGAGAACUCACCCAGUCUGCCAGGGUCACAGAAUGAUCAUACUCAAGAUCUUCCUGGGGAGUCAAUGGCAAAUUUCACUGGGCUAUUUUACAGAUGAAGAAGGAACAUAAAGAAGGUUCUGGGACCCCGAAGUCCACGGAACACCCACCAUUACCUGAUCUUUGGAGCUUGUCAUUUGGCCAGUGGACCCUAAUAAACGUCCACGGGGAUGUGGGGAUAGAAUGCCAGAGCCUGGCUCGCUAGGGCAUCCAGGUUCUUCCUUCCUCUUUGCCCUGCUGUCUCCAGGCACCAAGAAUCUCCUACAGUUCCCCAAAGAUGAACCCCCCAUUAUCUCAGGUCACUCUGUUUCCCCCGAUCUUUACCAAAUUCCUGACUCAGAGUUCCUCCCAUUUGCUUCUGACUCUCAUUUUAUUCUUACCUCUCAUUUUAUUCUUAUGAUGUUUACCAUUUCUCUUCUCCUCAGUGUCCCUCUCUGAGUGGUAAGAGUAUGUUAAUAAGCCAGUGCUGAGACCGGAGCACGAGGCAACUGCUCAAUGUUGGUCAUUGUCACUGUUAU
Molecule: long non-coding RNA, 732 nt
Filed under: Homo sapiens (human)
Lineage: Eukaryota; Metazoa; Chordata; Mammalia; Primates; Hominidae
Description: HSALNT0356508
Source: RNAcentral